RNA transcript from Hevea brasiliensis (rubber tree), 1455 nucleotides. RefSeq lists it as uncharacterized. Lineage: Eukaryota; Viridiplantae; Streptophyta; Magnoliopsida; Malpighiales; Euphorbiaceae. The transcript is spliced from 3 exons. The record is from RefSeq and is a predicted model, not a curated record.
GUUUCUUAAUAAUCCUCUCUGUAUUGAAGCUGGCACUACUGUGCACUGUCUCCUAGUUAAAACCUUCUUUGUUUCUGAUUUUCUCCAUUUCUGUGAUGAACAAUCCCUAAACCCCAUCCCUAAUCUCACCUCACUGUAACAUAAAAAGGGCGUCAGGCGUCAGCUCAUCACACCACCACCGCCAGAAACAAACAGAGUUUCCUGAUCUUGCACCAUUAAAUUCAUGCUCUAACGCGCGCACAGGUACACCAAAACAGAAGAAAAGGGCAAAAACAUGGUUCGUUUCUUGCCUUUGCUUUCACUUAUUAUUCUCUAUCUCGCAAUCUCAAUCCCAGGUGUCAAUCCAUGGGAGGAGGAUUCAUCAGUCUACGAUGUUCUUAAGGACCAUGGGCUGCCCAUGGGCCUAUUCCCUAAGGGCGUUAAAGAUUUCACAAUCAAUGGUACGGGCCAUUUCUUGGUCCACUUGGAUCAGGCUUGCAACGCUAAGUUCGAGAGCGAAUUGCAUUACGAUAGGAAUGUUUCAGGGACUUUGAGCUACGGCCAGAUCGGGGCCUUGUCUGGAAUUUCUGCUCAGGAGUUGUUUUUGUGGUUUCCGGUCAAGGGUAUUCGGGUCGAUGUACCCAGUUCUGGUGUUAUUUAUUUCGAUGUUGGUGUUGUUUCUAAGCAGUUCUCGCUUUCUUUGUUCGAGACGCCGAGAGAUUGUCUGGCGGUUCGAGAUGGGCAAGCGGAGGCGAUUGAGUCUGGAAGGCUUAUUGCUGAGGCUGUGUCCAAGAGUCAACUUGGGGAGUUAAGAUAUCAACUUGAUCAAGAGAAUUUUGGGAGGGUUGUUCUGUAGAGUGCAUGGGAGAAAGUUAUUUAAGGCGUGUCAUAGCUUAAUGAGCUCAUGGGUUCUCUAUUUUCACCUUGUAAAUUUCAUAAGAGAUUCUGCUUUAGCAGGUCAAUGCUUCCAUUCAGUGUGUUUGCCCUUUUUUUUUUGUUUUUUGUUUUUUUUUUUUUUUUUUCCAUAUAGUGCAGAAUAUGGAACCAACUUCGCAGAGCUGGCUCUUGUCUAUGCAUGGAUGCCCUAUGAACGACCUUGAGAGGAUAAAUUAGGGAGGCAACAGCAUGAUCAUGAAAGGCUAACUAGUGGUUGAGGUGAUUCAGGUGUAAUCCUCAACACUGUCAGAGAAUUUGAGCAGAGGAAUUGAGUAGGCAUAUUUAUUGAAGUUGAUUUCUGAAGUGAGAUUUAGCUGUCUUUUCUCCUAAACUCCAUUUUUUCUUAAUCUUUUUUCUUUUUUGGGAGAACGGGAUGGGAGCAUAGGAUUGGAGGGAUUGUGGCUAGACGGGAUGGUGAUAAUUUACUUUAGGAUUUUGGAUUUGAUUCAGGAAUUGCUGAAUUUAUGAUAGGCAAUCAAACUAUAUUGUGCAUCAUUGGAGCCUGGUGAGAAAUUUAUGGAAGUUGAAUUUCAGGUGCAA